GAGGCUGAUGUGUAGGCAAAUCCGCACAUCAAUAAGGCUGGGCUGUGAUGGGGAGCGAAAAUUGCAGUAGCGAAGGUCAUGAGUUCAGGCUGCCAAGAAAAGCCUCUAGCCAGGUGAAGGUGCCCGUACCGCAAACCGACACAGGUAGGCGAGCAGAGUAUGCUAAGGCGCUCGGAAGAACUCUCGUUAAGGAACUCGGCAAAAUGACCCCGUAACUUCGGGAGAAGGGGUGCCUCGGUAGGGUGAAUAGCCCGAGGGGGCCGCAGUGAAAAGGCCCAAGCGACUGUUUAGCAAAAACACAGGUCUGUGCGAAGCCGUAAGGCGAAGUAUACGGGCUGACGCCUGCCCGGUGCUGGAAGGUUAAGGGGAGUGGUUAGCCGCAAGGCGAAGCUAUGAACCGAAGCCCCAGUAAACGGCGGCCGUAACCAUAACGGUCCUAAGGUAGCGAAAUUCCUUGUCAGGUAAAUUCUGACCCGCACGAAUGGCGUAACGACUUGGGCGCUGUCUCAACGAGAGAUCCGGUGAAAUUUUAAUACCUGUGAAGAUGCAGGUUACCCGCGACAAGACGGAAAGACCCCAUGGAGCUUUACUGCAGCUUGAUAUUGGACUUUGGUACGAUCUGUACAGGAUAGGUGGGAGCCUUGGAAGCCGGAGCGCCAGCUUCGGUGGAGGCAUCGUUGGGAUACCACCCUGAUCGUAUCGGAGUUCUAACCUGGUACCGUGAUCCGGUACAGGGACCGUGUCAGGUGGGCAGUUUGACUGGGGCGGUCGCCUCCUAAAAUGUAACGGAGGCGCCCAAAGGUUCCCUCAGAAUGGUUGGAAAUCAUUCGUAGCGUGCAAAGGCAUAAGGGAGCUUGACUGCGAGACCUACAAGUCGAGCAGGGACGAAAGUCGGGCUUAGUGAUCCGGUGGUACCGCAUGGAAGGGCCAUCGCUCAACGGAUAAAAGCUACCCUGGGGAUAACAGGCUUAUCUCCCCCAAGAGUCCACAUCGACGGGGAGGUUUGGCACCUCGAUGUCGGCUCAUCGCAUCCUGGGGCUGAAGUAGGUCCCAAGGGUUGGGCUGUUCGCCCAUUAAAGCGGUACGCGAGCUGGGUUCAGAACGUCGUGAGACAGUUCGGUCCCUAUCUGUCGUGGGCGUAGGAAAUUUGAGAGGAGCUGUCCUUAGUACGAGAGGACCGGGAUGGACGCACCGCUGGUGUACCAGUUGUUCCGCCAGGAGCAUAGCUGGGUAGCUACGUGCGGACGGGAUAAGCGCUGAAAGCAUCUAAGCGUGAAGCCCCCCUCAAGAUGAGAUUUCCCAGUAUGUAAGACCCCUGGAAGACGACCAGGUUGAUAGGUUCGAGGUGGAAGCGCAGCAAUGCGCGGAGCUGACGAAUACUAAUCGGUCGAGGGCUUAUUCG
This 1402-nucleotide ribosomal RNA is filed under the name metagenome. Its description in RNAcentral is "bacterial LSU rRNA". It matches the Rfam family "Bacterial large subunit ribosomal RNA", at positions 1521 to 2925 of the family's 2925-position model. The record is from RNAcentral.